UACGAAGGUCCCGAGCGUUAUCCGGAUUUAUUGGGUUUAAAGGGUGCGUAGGCGGGUUAUUAAGUCAGUGGUGAAAGCCUACAGCUUAACUGUAGAAUUGCCAUUGAUACUGAUGAUCUUGAGUAUGAUUGAGGUGGGCGGAAUGUGUCAUGUAGCGGUGAAAUGCUUAGAUAUGACACAGAACACCGAUUGCGAAGGCAGCUCACUAAGUCAUAACUGACGCUGAUGCACGAAAGCGUGGGUAGCAAACAGG
RNAcentral lists this ribosomal RNA (253 nucleotides) under uncultured bacterium. RNAcentral describes it as "partial 16S ribosomal RNA". It matches the Rfam family "Bacterial small subunit ribosomal RNA", at positions 524 to 776 of the family's 1533-position model. The record is from RNAcentral.